Molecule: unclassified non-coding RNA, 387 nt
Filed under: soil metagenome
Description: partial contains 5.8S ribosomal RNA, internal transcribed spacer 2, and large subunit ribosomal RNA
Rfam family: 5.8S ribosomal RNA (bases 1-120)
Source: RNAcentral
GAUGAAGAACGUAGCGAAAUGCGAUAAGUAAUGUGAAUUGCAGAAUUCAGUGAAUCAUCGAAUCUUUGAACGCACCUUGCACCCUUUGGUAUUCCGAAGGGUAUGCUCGUUUGAGUGUCAUUGUACUCUCACACUUCUAAUUCCUUUCGGGAUUGGGAGCGGUGGACUUGGGUGUUGCUGCUUUAGUUGUGGCUCACCUCAAAUAAGUUAGUGCAACUCUUGGUUGGACAUAGUACGGCGUGAUAAGUGUCUUCGACGGCGCCUCUGUAAGGAGGGUGGCCGAUCGGGAGCUCUGUGCUUCAAACCGUCUUCGGACAAUCUUUGACAACUUGACCUCAAAUCGAGUAGGACUACCCGCUGAACUUAAGCAUAUCAAUAAGCGGAGGA